This 348-nucleotide long non-coding RNA is filed under the name Anas platyrhynchos platyrhynchos (common mallard). RNAcentral describes it as "lncRNA (ENSAPLG00000027567.1)". The record is from RNAcentral. Lineage: Eukaryota; Metazoa; Chordata; Aves; Anseriformes; Anatidae.
AUGGUUGAAGGCUUUCUCUGCUGUUAUUGGUAUUUCACAGCUUUGGUUAAGAAAACUAGUUGGAAGGAGGGUAGUUUAAGGAGGCUAAAGGGGUCUGACUUGUUUUCAAGUGUGAAGCCUGGGUAUCCAUGCUAUACAGUCAACAGCGUGCUGGUUUUGUACCUGUUCACCCUCCUUGUUACUUUGAAAACUUCAAGAACAACUUGUACAAUGGUUCAACUUGGUGACAUUCAGCCUGCACGUCUUCAUACAGAGGAUUCAAUACAAGAAACAAGCUGUGUUGGAAAGUACGAGACAGCUCUGUGCCACAGCAUGGCUUUGGAUAACUUUGCAGGUGUGUUAGCAUGA